This 253-nucleotide ribosomal RNA is filed under the name uncultured bacterium. Its description in RNAcentral is "partial 16S ribosomal RNA". It matches the Rfam family "Bacterial small subunit ribosomal RNA", at positions 524 to 776 of the family's 1533-position model. The record is from RNAcentral.
GACGAACCGAGCGAACGUUGUUCGGAAUCACUGGGCUUAAAGGGCGCGUAGGCGGUUUACCAAGUCAGGGGUGAAAUUUUGCGGCUUAACCGUAACAGUGCCUUUGAUACUGGUAGGCUCGAGGGAGGUAGGGGUCCGCGGAACUUCUGGUGGAGCGGUGAAAUGCGUUGAUAUCAGAAGGAACGCCGGUGGCGAAAGCGGCGGACUGGAUCUCUUCUGACGCUGAGGCGCGAAAGCUAGGGGAGCAAACGGG